GGGCCUUUAAUUAAGCCUUAGCCUUCCAAAGGUAUGUUUGAUUUAUGUAUGAUCUGAAUUCUUUUCAAAUAUUUGAAAGAGAUAGGCAAAUAAUUCAUUUAGGACCUUGUCUUUGAAAUGCAUUGGAGUUUAAGUCACAAAUCAAGGUGAUUGUGAGUCCAAUAGUAUUUGAGUUGGCUUCCUAGUGAUGAUGAUUUGAAGGCCCUAAUGAAUAAAUCCAAUGAGAAGUCUGGUGGAGGAUCUAGGAAAGGAAAGAACAAAGGCCACAACAUGAAAAUGUUACAUCAUAUGCAUAAAUCUUCCAGGUAUGUACAUCAUGCACGAAAAUAAUUAAUUUAUGUAUGUUUUUAUACUUUCACUACAACAAAACAAGGUUUAACCGAUGCUUUGGUGGGAUCAUUUGCCAGCGCCAGGUAAAACCGGGCGAAGCAACCAGAGUACGUGGCACAAUCACUCUUGGUCUCCCUCUCUCAGGGUUUAUAUAGGUAGAGAAAAGGAGCAAAGAAUCAAGCAACCCCUGUUGCCGGAAAAAGAGAUGGCAUAGGAGAUCUCUCUUCUCGUCAGAUCUGCUGAGAUGGGAAUGAGAUCUCUCCUCUUCUUUAAAGCUCAUCUAGUAAGCUCAAAUUUGGGACAAGUGAGAGACAGUGGGUUGAAGCCCAAGUUGAAAAUGCUAAGCACCAGGCUAUUCUUGCGGCACUUAAAUCUCAAGUAUCAUCUGAUGAAGCUCACAUUCAUCAUGAUCUUCAUUCUCUUCGGUGCUUCUUUUCACUGGAUGAUAUUCCUGGCAAGCACUCUGUGGACAUAAUAUGUCUAGCUGAUGAUCAUCACAGAUUUAUUGUUCUCCAAAUACAUGUACAAAC
Long non-coding RNA from Magnolia sinica, 860 nucleotides. RefSeq lists it as uncharacterized. Lineage: Eukaryota; Viridiplantae; Streptophyta; Magnoliopsida; Magnoliales; Magnoliaceae. The record is from RefSeq and is a predicted model, not a curated record. The transcript is spliced from 4 exons.